UUAAAGCAGAUGCCCACUGAA
This 21-nucleotide non-coding RNA is filed under the name Rattus norvegicus (Norway rat). Lineage: Eukaryota; Metazoa; Chordata; Mammalia; Rodentia; Muridae. The record is from RNAcentral.